UAGGGAAUCUUCCGCAAUGGGCGAAAGCCUGACGGAGCAACGCCGCGUGAGUGAUGAAGGUCUUCGGAUCGUAAAACUCUGUUAUUAGGGAAGAACAAAUGUGUAAGUAACUAUGCACGUCUUGACGGUACCUAAUCAGAAAGCCACGGCUAACUACGUGCCAGCAGCCGCGGUAAUACGUAGGUGGCAAGCGUUAUCCGGAAUUAUUGGGCGUAAAGCGCGCGUAGGCGGUUUUUUAAGUCUGAUGUGAAAGCCCACGGCUCAACCGUGGAGGGUCAUUGGAAACUGGAAAACUUGAGUGCAGAAGAGGAAAGUGGAAUUCCAUGUGUAGCGGUGAAAUGCGCAGAGAUAUGGAGGAACACCAGUGGCGACGGCGACUUUCUGGUCUGUAACUAACGCUGAUGUGCGAAAGCGUGGGGAUCAAACAGG
Molecule: ribosomal RNA, 429 nt
Filed under: Actinomycetes bacterium
Lineage: Bacteria; Bacillati; Actinomycetota; Actinomycetes
Description: Actinobacteria bacterium partial 16S ribosomal RNA
Rfam family: Bacterial small subunit ribosomal RNA
Source: RNAcentral